This 926-nucleotide ribosomal RNA is filed under the name uncultured Bacteroidota bacterium. Its description in RNAcentral is "bacterial SSU rRNA". It matches the Rfam family "Bacterial small subunit ribosomal RNA", at positions 1 to 917 of the family's 1533-position model. The record is from RNAcentral. Lineage: Bacteria; Pseudomonadati; Bacteroidota.
UGGAUCCAGACUUUGAUUCUGGCUCAGGAUGAACGCUAGCUACAGGCUUAACACAUGCAAGUCGAGGGGAAACGACAUCGAAAGCUUUCUUUUGAUGGGCGUCGACCGGCGCACGGGUGAGUAACGCGUAUCCAACCUGCCCACCACUUGGGGAUAACCUUGCGAAAGUAAGACUAAUACCCAAUGACGUCUCUAGAGGACAUCUGAAAGGGAUUAAAGAUUUAUCGGUGAUGGAUGGGGAUGCGUCUGAUUAGCUUGUUGGCGGGGUAACGGCCCACCAAGGCUACGAUCAGUAGGGGUUCUGAGAGGAAGGUCCCCCACAUUGGAACUGAGACACGGUCCAAACUCCUACGGGAGGCAGCAGUGAGGAAUAUUGGUCAAUGGACGAGAGUCUGAACCAGCCAAGCAGCGUGCAGGAUGACGGCCCUAUGGGUUGUAAACUGCUUUUAUAAGGGAAUAAAGUGAGUCUCGUGAGACUUUUUGCAUGUACCUUAUGAAUAAGGACCGGCUAAUUCCGUGCCAGCAGCCGCGGUAAUACGGAGGGUCCGGGCGUUAUCCGGAUUUAUUGGGUUUAAAGGGAGCGUAGGCCGGAGAUUAAGCGUGUUGUGAAAUGUAGAUGCUCAACAUCUGCACUGCAGCGCGAACUGGUUUCCUUGAGUACGCACAAAGUGGGCGGAAUUCGUGGUGUAGCGGUGAAAUGCUUAGAUAUCACGAAGAACUCCGAUUGCGAAGGCAGCUCACUGGAGCGCAACUGACGCUGAAGCUCGAAAGUGCGGGUAUCGAACAGGAUUAGAUACCCUGGUAGUCCGCACGGUAAACGAUGGAUGCCCGCUGUUGGUCUGAAUAGGUCAGCGGCCAAGCGAAAGCAUUAAGCAUCCCACCUGGGGAGUACGCCGGCAACGGUGCAACUCAAAGGAAUUGACGGA